UACGUAGGGGGCUAGCGUUAUCCGGAAUGAUUGGGCGUAAAGCGUCCGCAGGUGGCAAUGUAAGUCUGCUGUCAAAGCGUCUGGCUCAACCAGAUAAAGGCAGUGGAAACUACAUAGCUAGAGUAAGGUAGGGGUAGAGGGAAUUCCUGGUGUAGCGGUGAAAUGCGUAGAGAUCAGGAAGAACACCGGUGGCGAAAGCGCUCUGCUGGACCUUAACUGACACUGAGGGACGAAAGCUAGGGGAGCGAAUGGG
RNAcentral lists this ribosomal RNA (253 nucleotides) under uncultured bacterium. RNAcentral describes it as "partial 16S ribosomal RNA". It matches the Rfam family "Bacterial small subunit ribosomal RNA", at positions 524 to 776 of the family's 1533-position model. The record is from RNAcentral.